AGGAAUAUUGGUCAAUGGCCGAGAGGCUGAACCAGCCAAGUCGCGUGAAGGAAGAAGGAUCUAUGGUUUGUAAACUUCUUUUAUAGGGGAAUAAAGUGGAGGACGUGUCCUUUUUUGUAUGUACCCUAUGAAUAAGCAUCGGCUAACUCCGUGCCAGCAGCCGCGGUAAUACGGAGGAUCCGAGCGUUAUCCGGAUUUAUUGGGUUUAAAGGGUGCGUAGGCGGCCUUUUAAGUCAGCGGUGAAAGUCUGUGGCUCAACCAUAGAAUUGCCGUUGAAACUGGGAGGCUUGAGUAUGUUUGAGGCAGGCGGAAUGCGUGGUGUAGCGGUGAAAUGCUUAGAUAUCACGCAGAACCCCGAUUGCGAAGGCAGCCUGCCAAGCCAUUACUGACGCUGAUGCACGAAAGCGUGGGGAUCAAACAGGAUUAGAUACCCUGGUAGUCCACGCAGUAAACGAUGAUCACUAGCUGUUUGCGAUACACUGUAAGCGGCACAGCGAAAGCGUUAAGUGAUCCACCUGGGGAGUACGCCGGCAACGGUGAAACUCAAAGGAAUUGACGGGGGCCCGCACAAGCGGAGGAACAUGUGGUUUAAUUCGAUGAUACGCGAGGAACCUUACCCGGGUUUGAACGCAUUUUGACAGCUCUGGAAACAGAGCCUCUAGCAAUAGCGAUUUGCGAGGUGCUGCAUGGUUGUCGUCAGCUCGUGCCGUGAGGUGUCGGCUUAAGUGCCAUAACGAGCGCAACCCUUGCCACUAGUUACUAACAGGUAAAGCUGAGGACUCUGGUGGGACUGCCAGCGUAAGCUGCGAGGAAGGCGGGGAUGACGUCAAAUCAGCACGGCCCUUACAUCCGGGGCGACACACGUGUUACAAUGGCGUGGACAAAGGGAGGCCACCUGGCGACAGGGAGCGAAUCCCCAAACCACGUCUCAGUUCGGAUCGGAGUCUGCAACCCGACUCCGUGAAGCUGGAUUCGCUAGUAAUCGCGCAUCAGCCAUGGCGCGGUGAAUACGUUCCCG
RNAcentral lists this ribosomal RNA (1018 nucleotides) under uncultured bacterium. RNAcentral's name for it is "bacterial SSU rRNA". It matches the Rfam family "Bacterial small subunit ribosomal RNA", at positions 357 to 1376 of the family's 1533-position model. The record is from RNAcentral.